UACGAAGGGUGCAAGCGUUAAUCGGAAUUACUGGGCGUAAAGCGUGCGUAGAUGGUUUGUUAAGUCGAAUGUGAAAGCCCCGGGCUCAACCUGGGAACUGCAUCCGAAACUGGCAGACUAGAGUGUGGUAGAGGAUGGCGGAAUUCCCGGUGUAGCGGUGAAAUGCGUAGAGAUCGGGAGGAACAUCCGUGGCGAAGGCGGCCAUCUGGACCAACACUGACGUUGAGGCACGAAAGCGUGGGGAGCAAACAGG
RNAcentral lists this ribosomal RNA (253 nucleotides) under uncultured bacterium. Its description in RNAcentral is "partial 16S ribosomal RNA". It matches the Rfam family "Bacterial small subunit ribosomal RNA", at positions 524 to 776 of the family's 1533-position model. The record is from RNAcentral.